Molecule: ribosomal RNA, 432 nt
Filed under: uncultured bacterium
Lineage: Bacteria
Description: partial 16S ribosomal RNA
Rfam family: Bacterial small subunit ribosomal RNA
Source: RNAcentral
GAUGAACGCUGGCGGUAUGCUUAACACAUGCAAGUCGAACGGUACCUUCGGGUAUAGUGGCGGACGGGUGAGUAACGCGUGAGAAUCUAUCUUCAGGUCGGGGACAACAGUUAGAAAUGACUGCUAAUACCGGAUGUGCCGAAAGGUAAAAGAUUUAUUGCCUGAAAAAGAGCUCGCGUCAGAUUAGCUAGUAGGUGGUGUAAGAGACUACCUAGGCUUCGAUCUGUAGCUGGUCUGAGAGGACGAUCAGCCACACUGGAACUGAGACACGGUCCAGACUCCUACGGGAGGCAGCAGUGGGGAAUUUUCCGCAAUGGGCGAAAGCCUGACGGAGCAAUACCGCGUGAGGGACGAAGGCUCUUGGGUCGUAAACCUCUUUUCUCCAGGAAGAUUCAGACGGUACUUGAGGAAUAAGCAUCGGCUAACUCUGUG